This 1250-nucleotide ribosomal RNA is filed under the name Chickpea phyllody phytoplasma. Its description in RNAcentral is "bacterial SSU rRNA". It matches the Rfam family "Bacterial small subunit ribosomal RNA", at positions 153 to 1402 of the family's 1533-position model. Lineage: Bacteria; Bacillati; Mycoplasmatota; Mollicutes; Acholeplasmatales; Acholeplasmataceae. The record is from RNAcentral.
GAAACAGUGGCUAAGACUGGAUAGGAAGAAAUAAGGCAUCUUAUUUCUUUUAAAAGACCUAGUAAUAGGUAUACUUUAGGAGGGGCUUGCGCCAUAUUAGUUAGUUGGUAGGGUAAUGGCCUACCAAGACGAUGAUGUGUAGCUGGACUGAGAGGUUGAACAGCCACAUUGGGACUGAGACACGGCCCAAACUCCUACGGGAGGCAGCAGUAAGGAAUUUUCGGCAAUGGAGGAAACUCUGACCGAGCAACGCCGCGUGAACGACGAAGUACUUUGGUAUGUAAAGUUCUUUUAUCAAGGAAGAAAAGCAAGUGGCGAACCAUUUGUUUGCCGGUACUUGAUGAAUAAGCCCCGGCUAAUUAUGUGCCAGCAGCCGCGGUAAGACAUAAGGGGCAAGUGUUAUCCGGAAUUAUUGGGCGUAAAGGGUGCGUAGGCGGUCUAGUAAGUCAGUGGUGUAAUGGCAACGCUCAACGUUGUCCGGCUAUUGAAACUGCUAAACUUGAGUUAGAUAGAGGCGAGUGGAAUUCCAUGUGUAGCGGUAAAAUGCGUAAAUAUAUGGAGGAACACCAGAGGCGUAGGCGGCUCGCUGGGUCUUAACUGACGCUGAGGCACGAAAGCGUGGGGAGCAAACAGGAUUAGAUACCCUGGUAGUCCACGCCGUAAACGAUGAGUACUAAGUGUCGGGUUAAACCGGUACUGAAGUUAACACAUUAAGUACUCCGCCUGAGUAGUACGUACGCAAGUAUGAAACUUAAAGGAAUUGACGGGACUCCGCACAAGCGGUGGAUCAUGUUGUUUAAUUCGAAGAUACCCGAAAAACCUUACCAGGUCUUGACAUGUUUUUGCGAAACGGUAGUAAUAUCGUAGAGGUUAUCAGAAACACAGGUGGUGCAUGGUUGUCGUCAGCUCGUGUCGUGAGAUGUUAGGUUAAGUCCUAAAACGAGCGAAACCCUUAUCGUUAGUUGCCAGCACGUUAUGGUGGGGACUUUAACGAGACUGCCAGUGAUAAACUGGAGGAAGGUGAGGAUCACGUCAAAUCAGCAUGCCCCUUAUGACCUGGGCUACAAACGUGAUACAAUGGCUGUUACAAAGGGUAGCUGAAACGUAAGUUCUUGGCCAAUCCCCAAAAACAGUCUCAGUCCGGAUUGAAGUCUGCAACUCGACUUCAUGAAGUUGGAAUCGCUAGUAAUCGCGAAUCAGCAUGUCGCGGUGAAUACGUUCUCGGGGUUUGUACACACCGCCCGUCAAAC